GUCGAACGUUGUUUUCGGGGAGCUGGUCNNNNGAAAUGGGCUCCCAUCCCAAGAGAGAUCGUCUCGCCCAGCUUCGGCAGUGCGUGGGCGUCCUCCCGGGGCGCUUUUCGGCCUCUGUUUGCUGGAAUAGUUGAGAACAAAGUGGC
RNAcentral lists this ribosomal RNA (146 nucleotides) under Bdallophytum americanum. RNAcentral describes it as "partial small subunit ribosomal RNA". The record is from RNAcentral. Lineage: Eukaryota; Viridiplantae; Streptophyta; Magnoliopsida; Malvales; Cytinaceae.